Molecule: ribosomal RNA, 254 nt
Filed under: uncultured bacterium
Lineage: Bacteria
Description: partial 16S ribosomal RNA
Rfam family: Bacterial small subunit ribosomal RNA
Source: RNAcentral
UACAGAGGGUGCAAGCGUUGUUCGGAAUUAUUGGGCGUAAAGGGCGCGUAGGCGGUGCGGUAAGUCACCUGUGAAACCUCUGGGCUUAACUCAGAGCCUGCAUCCGAAACUGGCGAGCUAGAGUACGAAAGAGGAUCGCGGAAUUCCCGGUGUAGAGGUGAAAUUCGUAGAUAUCGGGAGGAACACCGGUGGCGAAGGCGGCGAUCUGGGUCGAUACUGACGCUGAGGUGGCGAAAGCGUGGGGAGCAAACAGG